CAGGAGCGUGGCAGUGUUGGCGCCGACACCAUAACGCUCGGCCGUUGGUCGGGGUAACGCAUCAGUUAUGACCCAUACUAUAUACCCUUUCCCCUCACACAGCAGGCAAAGGAGAUGUUACACAAGCUGAAAGAAACACUGCAAUAGCUAACUAACACAAGAGACUCAAGGGCACGUGCUGCUUGAUUAACAACUCCAAGAGACAAAGCAAAACAGCGGGGACUGCCUCGCCUGGUGCGGUGUGGGCAUGGGAGGGUUCUGGGUGACGCAGCUGACAGUAGUGCUGGCGCUGCUGCCGGGACACUUAUUCACCAAGAUCGGUAAGUCAUGUCCUUGCCAAAAGUCCAGCGUCUACCCCAUGGUUGACGAUUCCUCUCAUACUAACACGGAAAGAACCAUUUUAUGCUGUAAAGACAUGCUAUUGGGCUACAAAGAUCCUGGAGCUUCCAUUCAAUGGUCAUUCAACGGUGAAGCUUUCUCAGAAAGAUGGCCCAGCUCAUUCACACCUGGCUAUUGCGACGAGACGCUCACUACCACAUCCGCAAAACUCAGUGAUAGCGGGAUCUACGGUUGCACAAUCACUGCCUCCAACGGCACUGUCAAAACCUUCAAAAUGUCUCUAUCUGUGGAACGCAACAUCAAUCAUCGUACGAAGCCGGAAUCGAUCAAGGGCUCCCCAAGCACCGUCGCUCAGUUAGAAGACAGAAUCACCUUGACCUGCGAAAGUUACGUAGGAACAAAUGAUACAAACAGAUACGGUGUAUUGAUGAAAUGGCGUAAAUAUUUACCGAACAACAACACUCAUACAUUCGUGGAAAGUCUUCCUAAUGUGACCAGGAUACGAAUCAACAACUCCAGCAAAGCAUCGUGGGGCAUACUGAAAGAAGAACUGGUUAUCUCAUCAGUUCAAGAAAUACAUUUCGGCCGUUAUGUGUGUACAGUGGCAAACAAUUUUGAUUCUCUCUCCUUCAACAUUACUUUAACAGAAGGAAUUCCAAAAGAGCAGGAAAAGAUACAGAAAUACAAGGCAACAGUGGCGGUGGUGGCAGGUCUACUGGGAGUGGUGUUGAUGCUGCUGUUAGGCUGGUGGCGCUGUGGUCGCCAAAUCUCCCUGUACUGCCGCAGAAGAUCAUUUUCCUCAGAGGACCACCAGUACGAUGUGUUCCUGGUUCACGGAGAGUCUGCCUCCCGCUGGGUGUGCUCCUUCCUGCUGCCGGCAUUGGAAGACUCCUUUGGCUACACGUGUUUCCUGCCACAACGGGACAUGUGCGGCGGUGAGAUGGUGGCAGAAUCCAUACUCGAGGCUCUGGGAAAGUGCCGUCGAGUUGUGGUGGUGAUGACACCGUGCCUACUUGACAGUCCCUGGGCCACUUGGGCCACCUGUAGCGGCAUCCAGACAGCCCUCACGUCCAGGGCACGCAUUCUUGCUCUUGUUCUCAAGGAGCAGAGCAUGAAGAGCGACUCUCUGCACCCAAACCCUUUCCUGAGCGUUCUGAAGGUGGUUAAGAAGAUUAAGUUGCCAGGGGAGUUUGCGAGGGACUUACGAGAACAGAGUCCGCCGCAUGAACCAUCUGAUAUACCUAUGCAAGAGAGCAACGACCAGAAGACGGAACUAAAAUUGAUAAUUCCUGAAAUAAAUGUCUGCAACAGCUCAUCCAACUCUCUAUCGAAAAGUCAAAGGUUGUCAAAUAUGAUCAGCGGGAGUAAUGCUGCCUCGAGGGAAGACCUAGAAUGCACAAAGAACAAACCGACAGUAGUUGGCUCUCCUGUUGUGUUUACGCUUGAUGAUCAGGAACCGCAAGAUCCUAGUUCCCCAAACUCAGUGACACCAUUCAUCUUUUCGUCCCAUCCCAAGUCUCAUAGACGUUCUGACGGCUCGAUGUGGGAGUCUGUUAGCUGGUGUCUCCAGAUGAUCUGCGUCGGGAAUCCGGAAGAGCAAUUUUGGCAGAAGCUGCGCCUUCACAUUGGUCCCCCUUUGCCUCAGCAGACCCAAGUGCAGUGACAAGUACGAGUAACACGCCCAGCACAACACGGGAGCUUUUACACUCCACGAACUAUGCAUCCUCCAUCUGCGGCCCCAGGUGACGUGCGACCCGCCACCGUAAAAUAAGCUCCACCCACCUGUGCACGGGUCGUAAAAGUGUCAUAAAUAACCAACGUUCUCAGACAACGACGUCUCCUCCAUUUCAAUGUCUUUUUUGUCUUACCUCCUCUUUUAUUUUUACUCGUACAUUAUAUAAUAUCCUUAUUU
RNAcentral lists this unclassified non-coding RNA (2251 nucleotides) under Portunus trituberculatus (swimming crab). RNAcentral describes it as "interleukin-1 receptor accessory protein-like 1-A, transcript variant X2". Lineage: Eukaryota; Metazoa; Arthropoda; Malacostraca; Decapoda; Portunidae. The record is from RNAcentral.